RNAcentral lists this ribosomal RNA (253 nucleotides) under uncultured bacterium. Its description in RNAcentral is "partial 16S ribosomal RNA". It matches the Rfam family "Bacterial small subunit ribosomal RNA", at positions 524 to 776 of the family's 1533-position model. The record is from RNAcentral.
UACGUAGGGGGCAAGCGUUGUCCGGAUUUAUUGGGCGUAAAGAGCGUGUAGGCGGCCAGGUAGGUCUGCUGUGAAAACUCGAGGCUUAACCUCGAGAUGUCAUCGGAAACCAUCUGGCUAGAGUCCGGGAGAGGAGAGUGGAAUUCCUGGUGUAGCGGUGAAAUGCGCAGAUAUCAGGAAGAACACCCGUGGCGAAAGCGGCUCUCUGGAACGGUACUGACGCUGAGACGCGAAAGCGUGGGGAGCGAACAGG